UACGGAGGGUGCAAGCGUUAUCCGGAUUCACUGGGUUUAAAGGGUGCGUAGGUGGGCAGGUAAGUCAGUGGUGAAAUCUCCGGGCUUAACCCGGAAACUGCCAUUGAUACUAUCUGUCUUGAAUACCGUGGAGGUGAGCGGAAUAUGUCAUGUAGCGGUGAAAUGCUUAGAUAUGACAUAGAACACCAAUGGCGAAGGCAGCUCGCUGGAACGGUACUGACGCUGAUGCGCGAAAGCCAGGGGAGCGAACGGG
This 253-nucleotide ribosomal RNA is filed under the name uncultured bacterium. RNAcentral's name for it is "partial 16S ribosomal RNA". It matches the Rfam family "Bacterial small subunit ribosomal RNA", at positions 524 to 776 of the family's 1533-position model. The record is from RNAcentral.